CGAUCAGUGGCAUCCCCGCAUUCGCCCAUAAAGUCAGUGCGGGGCGAGUCGUGUUGCUAGAUGAACCUAUAUCACUUAGCUCAGCGCAUCAAAUAAUUUUUGUUAAUAUUACCGUACGAAUAUUCAAAUUUUGGCAGCUUUAGUGUACAAUAGUAUUGUGACGUAUAGGUAGUAGGUACUUAGUUAGUAUAUUAUUUUAUUAGUGGUAUUCAAAAAUAGACAAAUUAGUUUACUCGAAAUGGGAAGUAAACAGAGGCGGAAGAAACGUGGUCUGAAAAAACUAUUCAAACUUAGGGGUUACAAAUAAGCAAAUCCAAUAAUCGUUCGAAUAGUUUAAAUAUAGAGGAAAAUUCUGAAAAUGUUAACCGAGAAGUAGACCACGACAAAUGUGCUUUAGAUAAACAAGUCGGUGAGAAAAUCGCAAAGAAUACUUCACUAUCUCUGUCGACCCCCAUACGCGACGAGUGCCCUAGUGAACAAAUCGAAGAUAGUUCUACUCUCUACGAAACAGAAAAAGCUAAGUCUUCUCCUGAAGCGUGUCAACUUGAAGGACGACGAAUCCUCAACCUAAAAACAUUUUACACAAAACUCCAAGAAAUAGCAAUAUAGCAAGAAAUAGAAAUAGCAAAUAGAAGAAAAUGAAAAUGUUCGACCGCCCAAACGAAGAAAAAUAUUGUAUGAAAAGAAAUUAAAUUUUAGUGAAUUUUAAAUCGUUAUCACUAUAAACAAUUCGAUUAUAAUAUCUUAAUACAUAAAUAAAUUAAAUAAAUUCGUUUAAAUAAAACUGUUUAAAACUAGUAGGUACCUCUAUUAAUUUUAUAUCUGUCUAUAAAACCACUGUUGUUGCUGUCCCUUAUUGUAUUUUAUUCUUUGAAUAAGUAGAUAUCUUAUAGUAACAAAAUAUUAAACCAUAGAUAAAUAAAAUAUUUUACAGAUUUGUCUCAUAAUUGUAUGAAUUACUUAUAAAAUUUACAAAUGUGCAAAAUCGCGAGUACAAUCGCAGGACGAAUAUCGACAGAUAAUUAGUAAAGAAUUUAGAUAAUUUAUUAUAAUACUUAAACUACUCUGUAAAUUUUCAACUCAGUGUCAUUAGCAUAAGCGGCCCGUGACUGAUACGCGGUCAGCGCGGGCGGCCGCGCAUUACGAUCUUUUGGUGCGGGGGUGCGGUGAAGCGCGGGAAGAAGUUUCUAGCUCCGCCCCAUUCUUCAAGGCCAUUGGCUUCAUCUCAA
Manduca sexta (tobacco hornworm) is the source of this 1229-nucleotide long non-coding RNA. RefSeq lists it as uncharacterized. The record is from RefSeq and is a predicted model, not a curated record. Lineage: Eukaryota; Metazoa; Arthropoda; Insecta; Lepidoptera; Sphingidae. The transcript is spliced from 4 exons.